UAGAGGAUUUUGAUAUUGCAAGUCAAAAAGACCAUCUCGUUGUUCAUUCGAGAUGGUGAAGUCUUGCAAUAAAAUCCUUUUGCUUUGCAUUGUUGCGCUUUUGGUAAGUGCACCGUCUUCAUAUGCUAAUAAUUCAAUCUCAAAUGGUGCUAUGAAUGCAGAUGGAACUCCGUGCAACGGACAGAACAAAGAAAAUUGUAGACCAGGAAAACCAGUAAAUGGCUACAAUAGAGGCUGCAAUCACGAAGAGCAUUGCCGAACUGGAAACCCAUAAAAUUGAAGGCUAAACUACGUUGGUUCCGGGAAGAAUCAUAGUCUUCCUAUUAUGGGAAGGAUUGGGCUGAUACCUUCUACAGUAUUCUAUGUUUAGUGAUAAGUUAAAAGAGGCAGUCAUAGUGGUAAAUACACAUGGCUUUUUCCUCUUUACCAAUUUUGUAAUAAACAAGUGGUUAUUUACUGUUGCAACUUGCCCAUUUCCAAGUUU
Molecule: long non-coding RNA, 484 nt
Filed under: Coffea arabica (coffee)
Lineage: Eukaryota; Viridiplantae; Streptophyta; Magnoliopsida; Gentianales; Rubiaceae
Description: long non-coding RNA (CARA_LNC006407)
Source: RNAcentral